AGACAGCAGUCGCCGCGGUAAUACAGAGGGUGCGAGCGUUAAUCGGAUUUACUGGGCGUAAAGCGUGCGUAGGCGGCUUUUUAAGUCGGAUGUGAAAUCCCUGAGCUUAACUUAGGAAUUGCAUUCGAUACUGGGAAGCUAGAGUAUGGGAGAGGAUGGUAGAAUUCCAGGUGUAGCGGUGAAAUGCGUAGAGAUCUGGAGGAAUACCGAUGGCGAAGGCAGCCAUCUGGCCUAAUACUGACGCUGAGGUACGAAAGCAUGGGGAGCAAACAGGAUUAGAUACCCCAGUAGUCCCUGUCUCUUAUAA
This 307-nucleotide ribosomal RNA is filed under the name uncultured bacterium. RNAcentral describes it as "partial 16S ribosomal RNA". It matches the Rfam family "Bacterial small subunit ribosomal RNA", at positions 506 to 809 of the family's 1533-position model. The record is from RNAcentral.